AGUACCCCAGGUCAGGCGGGGCGACCCGCCGAGUUUAA
Molecule: ribosomal RNA, 38 nt
Filed under: Cladium californicum
Lineage: Eukaryota; Viridiplantae; Streptophyta; Magnoliopsida; Poales; Cyperaceae
Description: partial 26S ribosomal RNA
Source: RNAcentral